AGUCCACUUCACUGUCAGUGUAACAUUGAUCCCAGCAGUCCACUGGGCUGACUUGGAAAGUAUUCCUAAUAAUAUCAAGGUAGAUGACAAGAAAUUAGAUCCUCUUGAAGAAUAAAAGGAUGCUGUGUUCGAGAGCGGUAGCGUUUUUAUGAAGACAUGUAAUUAAAGGAAGCCAUUAAAGAUACUUGUAAAAAUGA
Molecule: non-coding RNA, 197 nt
Organism: Taeniopygia guttata (zebra finch)
Lineage: Eukaryota; Metazoa; Chordata; Aves; Passeriformes; Estrildidae
Source: RefSeq, a predicted model, not a curated record